UACGAAGGGGGCUAGCGUUGUUCGGAAUCACUGGGCGUAAAGGGCGCGUAGGCGGUUCGUUAAGUCCUGUGUGAAAUCCCCCGGCUCAACUGGGGAACUGCACAGGAAACUAGCGGGCUUGAGUUCGGGAGAGGGAAGCGGAAUUCCGGGUGUAGCGGUGAAAUGCGUAGAUAUCCGGAGGAACACCGGUGGCGAAGGCGGCUUCCUGGACCGACACUGACGCUGAGGCGCGAAAGCUAGGGGAGCAAACGGG
RNAcentral lists this ribosomal RNA (253 nucleotides) under uncultured bacterium. RNAcentral's name for it is "partial 16S ribosomal RNA". It matches the Rfam family "Bacterial small subunit ribosomal RNA", at positions 524 to 776 of the family's 1533-position model. The record is from RNAcentral.